GCUGGGCCCAUAACCCAGAGGUCG
Molecule: non-coding RNA, 24 nt
Filed under: Cricetulus griseus (Chinese hamster)
Lineage: Eukaryota; Metazoa; Chordata; Mammalia; Rodentia; Cricetidae
Also listed under: 1 other name
Source: RNAcentral